GGCCUCGAAUCGGGUCAGGUCCGGAAGGAAGCAGCCCUAAGAGCUCCUUCCGAUGUCUUCGGGACGCCGUGGCCGU
This 76-nucleotide signal recognition particle RNA is filed under the name Planctomycetota bacterium. RNAcentral describes it as "Planctomycetes bacterium (activated sludge metagenome) partial signal recognition particle sRNA small type". It matches the Rfam family "Bacterial small signal recognition particle RNA", at positions 23 to 97 of the family's 97-position model. Rfam says of the family: The signal recognition particle (SRP) is a universally conserved ribonucleoprotein involved in the co-translational targeting of proteins to membranes. Archaeal SRP consists of a 7S RNA and homologues of the eukaryotic SRP19 and SRP54 proteins. The record is from RNAcentral. Lineage: Bacteria; Pseudomonadati; Planctomycetota.